AGCACCCAUUGACGUCUCUAGAGGACAUCUGAAAGAGAUUAAAGAUUUAUCGGUGAUGGAUGGGGAUGCGUCUGAUUAGCUUGUUGGCGGGGUAACGGCCCACCAAGGCUACGAUCAGUAGGGGUUCUGAGAGGAAGGUCCCCCACAUUGGAACUGAGACACGGUCCAAACUCCUACGGGAGGCAGCAGUGAGGAAUAUUGGUCAAUGGACGAGAGUCUGAACCAGCCAAGUAGCGUGCAGGAUGACGGCCCUAUGGGUUGUAAACUGCUUUUAUAAGGGAAUAAAGUGAGUCUCGUGAGACUUUUCGCAUGUACCUUAUGAAUAAGGACCGGCUAAUUCCGUGCCAGCAGCCGCGGUAAUACGGAAGGUCCGGGCGUUAUCCGGAUUUAUUGGGUUUAAAGGGAGCGUAGGCCGGAGAUUAAGCGUGUUGUGAAAUGUAGAUGCUCAACAUCUGCACUGCAGCGCGAACUGGUUUCCUUGAGUACGCACAAAGUGGGCGGAAUUCGUGGUGUAGCGGUGAAAUGCUUAGAUAUCACGAAGAACUCCGAUUGCGAAGGCAGCUCACUGGAGUGCAACUGACGCUGAAGCUCGAAAGUGCGGGUAUCGAACAGGAUUAGAUACCCUGGUA
Molecule: ribosomal RNA, 629 nt
Filed under: uncultured Bacteroidota bacterium
Lineage: Bacteria; Pseudomonadati; Bacteroidota
Description: bacterial SSU rRNA
Rfam family: Bacterial small subunit ribosomal RNA
Source: RNAcentral